Non-coding RNA from Plutella xylostella (diamondback moth), 1162 nucleotides. NCBI's taxonomy places the organism in Eukaryota, Metazoa, Arthropoda, Insecta, Lepidoptera, Plutellidae. The record is from RefSeq and is a predicted model, not a curated record.
AUUAUUUAUUUCUUACACACACAGAAACAACACAUACUUACAUUUAGAAGAAAAGGUUAAAAAGUAAAUAAAAAAAAUAAGUUAUUAAAAGCAUGAAUGUUGCUUCUCGGUGCUGAAAUGGGUUCUAGUUCAGCUUGAUGCUAUGGCAGGUAUGCUAAACCACACCAUAGCGCUGGUUUUCAACUAGAACCCUUGGGUGAAGUCACGGACUGACUUGACUGACUGACACAAAAAAACAUAACAUAAAAAAAAAAAAAUAACAAACAGAAUAAAAAACAGUAACAUAUACUUAUAUGCUUAAACAAAGCGUCUCGGUUGUCGCGUCGAAACCAUAGAACUUAAAAUUGGGUCAAAGGGGAACGGGCGGGGGAAGGGAGGGCAAGCGCGCCUCUGCCUCGCGGCGCGUCGAGCCUUUUUCAGUCUGAAAAUGUCGCCCACGGCCGGAGCACGUCCGUGCGGCCAGCGCCCCACCCCCCGCGGAGCCCCGAAGCGCCCGCGCAACCAGUUUUUCAACUUUGCCACUGGUAAACAAUGUGUGCAACAAGUAGUUAAUACGCUUGUUUUGCGUGUAGUAGUGAUGCAGACCGACUAGUUACAUACUUUAAACUAUGAAUUGCUGCGCAGAGCAUACACAGAGUUAAAAUUGGAAACUAUAAACCAUGGUGUGAGAUUGAUAUUUUGUCAAAGUGCACUACAACAAUUUGACAUUUUUUUUGGGUAUAAGUACCUAUGCUAUAUAAUAUAAUGGUUUGCGUUGGCUGACUACAACAAAAUACCUACAUCUUUUCUUUGCCUACCAAGCUUCAAAUGGCUUUAUACCUACAAUGCACGGAGUGCGGCUGCUUUGCAAGGCUUGGAGGUUGUGCUCGUUUGGGACAGCUUUACCUUCUGGCUUAUCGUGAUAAACAUAAAGGCACGUAUCGGAGGGGGUAAGUUGUUCCAGCACUUGCUAGCAGCAUACUUGAAGGAACCACGGAAUGCUGCUGUUUUGAAGCUUGGCGUCACCAGCAUAUACGAAGAAGCACGCGUGUUAUGCCUGUUGUGAGUACUAGACCAGUCUAAUUUAGUAUAGAGGUAGUCAGGAGAACGUGUUUUAAUAAUUUUAAAUAAUAGGGUUGCAAAAUGAAGUUGUCUUCUGGCCUGUAAUUUUAACAAAUUUGAA